Molecule: ribosomal RNA, 527 nt
Filed under: uncultured beta proteobacterium
Lineage: Bacteria; Pseudomonadati; Pseudomonadota; Betaproteobacteria
Description: bacterial SSU rRNA
Rfam family: Bacterial small subunit ribosomal RNA
Source: RNAcentral
AGAGUUUGAUCCUGGCUCAGAUUGAACGCUGGCGGCAUGCCUUACACAUGCAAGUCGAACGGUAGAGGGGCAACCCUUGAGAGUGGCGAACGGGUGAGUAAUGCAUCGGAACGUGCCCAGUCGUGAGGGAUAACGCAGCGAAAGCUGUGCUAAUACCGCAUGUGAUCUGUGGAUGAAAGCAGGGGACUUGGUAGCAAUACUGGGCCUUGUGCGAUUGGAGCGGCCGAUGUCAGAUUAGCUAGUUGGUAGGGUAAAAGCCUACCAAGGCGACGAUCUGUAGCUGGUCUGAGAGGACGACCAGCCACACUGGGACUGAGACACGGCCCAGACUCCUACGGGAGGCAGCAGUGGGGAAUUUUGGACAAUGGGCGCAAGCCUGAUCCAGCAAUGCCGCGUGCAGGACGAAGGCCUUCGGGUUGUAAACUGCUUUUGUACGGAGCGAAACGGUCUGGGUUAAUACCCUAGGCUAAUGACGGUACCGUAAGAAUAAGCACCGGCUAACUACGUGCCAGCCGCCGCGGUAAUAC